RNAcentral lists this long non-coding RNA (290 nucleotides) under Mytilus galloprovincialis (Mediterranean mussel). The record is from RNAcentral. Lineage: Eukaryota; Metazoa; Mollusca; Bivalvia; Mytilida; Mytilidae.
AAAAUAAAACCAGAUGCUCCGCAGGGCGCAGCUUUAUACGACCGCAGAGGUUGAACCCUGAAUGGUUGGGGAAAGUAUGGACACAACAUUCAAGCUGGAUUCAGCUCUAAAUUUGGAUUGUGAUUAAAUAGUUGACACAGCAUAGGUUUCUGACACAGAAUGAAUGUGGUUCUAAUGAACUUAAAAAAAAAAAUUCACUAUGCUGUUGAAUAUUAAUCCUCUCAAAAAAAUGUUUGAAGAAAUUUUCUUUUUAUUUAUGAAAUCUGAAAUGAGAAAAAUUGCCCCCCCCC